AGCCUUGCCCAGUGGCAGUAUUGUAGUCAAUGAGGUUUAUCCAAGGCGCAAUUAUUGCUAAUUGAAGACUUUUCCCAAUACCCUGCCCUGAUGACUGGAAAUAUAGUCAGCAUUGGCAAUUUUUGGCAGUCUCUAUGGGGA
Molecule: small nuclear RNA, 141 nt
Organism: Sapajus apella (tufted capuchin)
Lineage: Eukaryota; Metazoa; Chordata; Mammalia; Primates; Cebidae
Product: U4 spliceosomal RNA
Exons: 1
Source: RefSeq, a predicted model, not a curated record